GGCGGCGCGCCUAACACAUGCAAGUCGAACGAGAGAUGAAGAGCUUGCUCUUCAAAUCGAGUGGCGAACGGGUGAGUAACGCGUGAGGAACCUGCCUCAAAGAGGGGGACAACAGUUGGAAACGACUGCUAAUACCGCAUAAGCCCACGGCUCGGCAUCGAGCAGGGGGAAAAGGAGCAAUCCGCUUUGAGAUGGCCUCGCGUCCGAUUAGCUAGUUGGUGAGGUAAUGGCCCACCAAGGCGACGAUCGGUAGCCGGACUGAGAGGUUGAACGGCCACAUUGGGACUGAGACACGGCCCAGACUCCUACGGGAGGCAGCAGUGGGGAAUAUUGCACAAUGGGGGAAACCCUGAUGCAGCGACGCCGCGUGGAGGAAGAAGGUCUUCGGAUUGUAAACUCCUGUUGUUGAGGAAGAUAAUGACGGUACUCAACAAGGAAGUGACGGCUAACUACGUGCCAGCAGCCGCGGUAAAACGUAGGUCACAAGCGUUGUCCGGAAUUACUGGGUGUAAAGGGAGCGCAGGCAGGAGAACAAGUUGGAAGUGAAAUCCAUGGGCUCAACCCAUGAACUGCUUUCAAAACUGUUUUUCUUGAGUAGUGCAGAGGUAGGCGGAAUUCCCGGUGUAGCGGUGGAAUGCGUAGAUAUCGGGAGGAACACCAGUGGCGAAGGCGGCCUACUGGGCACCAACUGACGCUGAGGCUCGAAAGUGUGGGUAGCAAACAGGAUUAGAUACCCUGGUAGUCCACACCGUAAACGAUGA
Molecule: ribosomal RNA, 761 nt
Filed under: uncultured bacterium
Lineage: Bacteria
Description: bacterial SSU rRNA
Rfam family: Bacterial small subunit ribosomal RNA
Source: RNAcentral